UGGGGAAUACUGUACAAUGGGCGCAAGCCUGAUGCAGCGACGCCGCGUGAGGGAUGACGGCCUUCGGGUUGUAAACCUCUUUCAGCAGGGAAGAAGCGCAAGUGACGGUACCUGCAGAAGAAGCGCCGGCUAACUACGUGCCAGCAGCCGCGGUAAUACGUG
RNAcentral lists this ribosomal RNA (162 nucleotides) under uncultured bacterium. RNAcentral's name for it is "partial 16S ribosomal RNA". It matches the Rfam family "Bacterial small subunit ribosomal RNA", at positions 355 to 529 of the family's 1533-position model. The record is from RNAcentral.